UAGGGAAUCUUCCACAAUGGACGCAAGUCUGAUGGAGCAACGCCGCGUGAGUGAAGAAGGUCUUCGGAUCGUAAAACUCUGUUGUUAGAGAAGAACAUGCAGGAGAGUAACUGUUCUUGUAUUGACGGUAUCUAACCAGAAAGCCACGGCUAACUACGUGCUAG
This 164-nucleotide ribosomal RNA is filed under the name uncultured bacterium. Its description in RNAcentral is "partial 16S rRNA". It matches the Rfam family "Bacterial small subunit ribosomal RNA", at positions 355 to 511 of the family's 1533-position model. The record is from RNAcentral.